Molecule: ribosomal RNA, 482 nt
Filed under: Attagis gayi (rufous-bellied seedsnipe)
Lineage: Eukaryota; Metazoa; Chordata; Aves; Ciconiiformes; Thinocoridae
Description: partial 12S ribosomal RNA
Rfam family: Bacterial small subunit ribosomal RNA
Source: RNAcentral
UAAGACCAAAAUGCAACUAAGCCGUCAUAAGCUCAAGAUGCCCCUAGAAUCUUAGGAUUAACUUUACCCACGAAAGCUAAGGCACAAACUGGGAUUAGAUACCCCACUAUGCUUAGCCCUAAAUCUCAGCGACUAAAGCGCUCGCCCGAGAACUACGAGCAUAAACGCUUAAAACUCUAAGGACUUGGCGGUGUCCUAAACCCACCUAGAGGAGCCUGUUCUAUAAUCGAUAAUCCACGUUACCCAACCUCUCCUAGCCACAUCAGCCUACAUACCGCCGUCGCCAGCUCACCUUGAGAGCCCAACAGUGAGCAUAAUAGCGCUAACAAGACAGGUCGAGGUAUAGCCCAUGGAGCGGAAGAAAUGGGCUACAUUUUCUAUAGAACACGAGGGACGUGAAAAAAAGGCGGAUUUAGCAGUAAACUGGAACAAGUCCUCUUUAAGCUGGCCCUAGGACACGUACACACCGCCCGUCACCCUCC